RNAcentral lists this unclassified non-coding RNA (473 nucleotides) under Hevea brasiliensis (rubber tree). Lineage: Eukaryota; Viridiplantae; Streptophyta; Magnoliopsida; Malpighiales; Euphorbiaceae. The record is from RNAcentral.
AAAAAAGAAGAAUAUUGCGUGGAAUGGGAGGUCGUGACUGCCCCUAAGGCUUUUGCUGACUUUUCUCCUUCAAAUUGCCAGGUGCUUUUUGCGUAAUUUCCAUUCUUAUAUUCUCAGACUGGGAAUUAUUCAAUGAUCAUCAUUAUUAUUACAAAAAAAAAUUAAAAUGUAUUAAAAUAUUAAAAUUAUUCUUUGUCCCUAGCUUUAUACAACAUAACAAUAUGGUUUGGAUAGAUUUGUUUUGUUAGGCAAUAGAAGCAACUAUGGUUCACUUUUGUCUUAAAAUUACAGCGGGAGAGUGUCGUGUGAGUGAGAACAGAUCAGAUCAGAAAUUCUGUGGUUCUUAGUGUAAGGGCCUGCUUAGACGGUAUUUUAAUUUAUUUUUUUUAACUCAAAAAAAUUUUUGUAAAAGAAUUCCCAUUCAUUCAUUCAUUCAUUCAAAAUCCAAACAAACUCAAAAAAAUAAAUUAAAA